Molecule: ribosomal RNA, 433 nt
Filed under: uncultured bacterium
Lineage: Bacteria
Description: partial 16S ribosomal RNA
Rfam family: Bacterial small subunit ribosomal RNA
Source: RNAcentral
AACGAACGCUGGCGGCAUGCCUAACACAUGCAAGUCGAACGAGACCUUCGGGUCUAGUGGCGCACGGGUGCGUAACGCGUGGGAACCUGCCCUUAGGUUCGGAAGAACUCCCCGAAAGGGGUGCUAAUACCGGAUAAUGUCUUCGGACCAAAGAUUUAUCGCCUUUGGAUGGGCCCGCGUUGGAUUAGCUAGUUGGUAGGGUAAAAGCCUACCAAGGCGACGAUCCAUAGCUGGUCUGAGAGGAUGAUCAGCCACACUGGGACUGAGACACGGCCCAGACUCCUACGGGAGGCAGCAGUGGGGGAUAUUGGACAGUGGGCGAAAGCCUGAUCCAGCAAUGCCGCGUGAGUGAUGAAGGCCUUAGGGUUGUAAAGCUCUUUUACCCGGGAUGAUAAUGACAGUACCGGGAGAAUAAGCUCCGGCUAACUCCGUG